GUGGAGCUUCUGGUGAUGAAGGCUCUGUCUGUGGGGCUGAUCAAAGGUAACAUUGACGAGGUGGACCAGAAGGUGCAGAUGACCUGGGUGCAGCCCAGAGUACUGGACCUGCAGCAGAUCAAAGGUAUGAAGGAGCGUUUGGACUUUUGGUGUGGCGACGUUAAGAACAUGGCCAUGCUGGUGGAGCAGCAGGCCCACGACAUCCUCACCUGAAUUUCCCCUUCGGCCCCUCGGAGGGAGACCUCACUCUGUUUUUGUAUUGUUUUUCUUUCUGUUGGAUGUUUAUUCUUCUGUUAACCAUCUCUGUUUAUUAUCAACCUGUAAAUUACACUGCGGUGUUUUGCAAAUAAACACUUGGUUGUAACAUUAUUAUCGUUGCCAUGUCUGGACAAUAUUGUUCAAAACAUGAAUAAAAAUGACCAUGACAACAGUCAAA
This is a long non-coding RNA of Micropterus dolomieu (smallmouth bass), 436 nucleotides long. RefSeq lists it as uncharacterized. The transcript has 2 exons. The record is from RefSeq and is a predicted model, not a curated record. NCBI's taxonomy places the organism in Eukaryota, Metazoa, Chordata, Actinopteri, Centrarchiformes, Centrarchidae.